This 1644-nucleotide long non-coding RNA is filed under the name Homo sapiens (human). RNAcentral describes it as "HSALNT0387112". The record is from RNAcentral. Lineage: Eukaryota; Metazoa; Chordata; Mammalia; Primates; Hominidae.
ACUUCUUGGAAUAGAUCCUAAAUUGGUCUGACUCUCAAACCAGUGUUUUAAAAAUACUACUCUAAACUGCUUCCUUGGGAUAUGGCAAUGUUUCAGGAAAGAGGCACUGGCCUUUACUUCUCCACCUCGAUUCACUUCCAUGCUGUUGACAAAUGUUAUAGUUGCCCAGGAUCAGAGGGAGAGACUGACCCUGUGACCAUUUCCCCAAAGGCGGCCUUUGGCCACUCCGUGCACUGGAGCACAUGACCCUCUGCCUCGCCCCUGCCACAUUAACCAGGUGACUGUCUGCCAAGGCCCAGCCCAGUCCAAAGGGAAUUGGGAUUCAGUGUCCCAAACAAGGCACUGAUUAGCUGGUAAUCAGGCAGCGAUUAGCAGGUCGGGUCACCUGCAGUUCAGUGCCCAUUGUUCCCAGCAAAGUCCUGGGAUAUUUGCCACACGGCUGGCCAGUCUGAAUGUCUGAGGAUUCCGAUGCCUGCAGCUCUGCUGUGGAGAUGUGUGAUUAGGAACAAAUCCUCUGUUCUCUAAGCCCAUCCCCCCAAGGAGGCAGUGCAGUGUGAAUAGUGAAUCCCCUUCUCUAUUCACACACAAAGGUUUGGGGAGAAGAAUGGCCUGCUUAGGAGCUCAACAGUGACAGAGAGGUGAGGCCCCAAGGAUGCACUGAAGAACUGAAAGCAAAUUAGCACAUUCCUCUUCCUGCACCAUGAUGACUGAGAGUGGAGGAACGGGCAAGCCCACAUCCAGACUGGGAUUCUACUGUGAUCUUGAGAUGUGACCUUGGACAAGAUUUUUAACCUCUGAGCUUGUUUACCUUGAUUUUGAGAGUUUAAUAACACUUGCCUCUUCAGCCUUUGAAGUUCAGAUUUAGAAAAUGAACAUAAAGCAGUUACUACAGUCUCUGUAGCGUGUGACCAAUACAUGCUAUCACCGUUAUCAUCGGUCAUAGUAAUAUCAAUAUUUAAAAUAUCAUAAUUAUUUGAAAUACUUUAUUUAAAAUAUGCCUCUGUAACAUCACUUCUAAAUGAGAGAUAGCCCCUUUGUAGGAGGCCAUGAUAAGGAUGAGAUGAGAAUUCUUGUAAAGCUUUCAUCACAGGGCCUAGCAAGUAAUUAGCACUUAAUAAAUCAUAGUAACAAUGGUGAUCACCAUCAUUAUUGUUUGUACAAAGUUGAAUGGAAAAGACUAUUUUGUAGCACUUUUCACUGUAUUGUAGCAUGUGAUCAUGAAAAUUUAGACAAAGCAUAAUUUUUCGAGCUAAAAGGAGAUUAAUGAAAUUAUUCAUGGCACAUUCACACCAUUGGACACUGUUCAGCUUUAUAGUCUAUGUGCCCUUCCACCACCUGGAGAUCUUGCUAAAAUUCUCAUUUGGUAAAUCUGGGGUCAGCCCAAGAUUACGCAUUUCCAGUGGAUUCUCAAGUGAUUCCAGGGCUACCUGUCCAUGGACUCCACUUUGAGUAAACAGGAUGUACACUUUUACAAUAAAAAAUGUGUAUAUGCAUUUAUACAGAAAUAUAGAAAAAUAUUCCUAGGCUAUACUCAAGAUGGGGGACAGUGUUUUUCACCCCCUUCGCUAAACUGUACUAUCUUUCCCAGAAAUUUAAUAACAAACAUGUAAAAACAUUUAAAAAUGCAAUAAAUUUUAUUGAUGC